AAUGUAUCCACCAUCUUUGGUUGCUAACGUUACUAGCUAGCGGUCACUCUACUGUGUGACUAACUAAUACUGUAAUUAGCUACAUUUUUUGAAACUAUUAUCUAACUGUGUCGGAGUUGAGAAACUAAUAGUACACCCAACAAUUUCAAAGAAGCUAACGGUAGCUAGCUAAGGUAUAGAGAUAAGUAUUCAGUAAUAGUAAAUUAGCUACCGUACCAUACUCAGAAGAUAGCUUACGUUAGCUAGCUCGCAUUAAGAUAGCCAGAAACAAGACGAGGAAGCGCUAGCUAACAUAGCAUAGAUAGCUAACAAGCAGCCUGGGUUUGAAUUAAAUGCUCCCCAGAAUAGCUGGUAUAUAGGCUAAUGAUAAAUUGCAAGCCAUCUAGUUACCUUUACCUAGGUGCGCUAAUUCCUUGAUUAAAGUAAGUGAACUAGAUAAUUUCACUAACUGAGCCAGGAAGGAAGACAUUUCACAGGUAAAUGAGGAAACAUUGACAAUACAUCAUCAAGUGGACCCAGUAAGGCUGGAGCAUCGCCUGAAUAUUCAAACACUGAAUUCGGCGUCAAUUAUUUCUCAACGUGAUAUGGAAAGACUACAAUUCAAUUCGACCUAAUUGAUGUGGCCAUGAGCAUCAGCUGACUAUUUUCGGUGUGUUUUUCUUUCCUCACGCAGUGGCUGGGAUGAGCCCCCUCUCACCGUAUCUUAAUGUGGAUCCAAGAUAUUUUACACAUGUGCUGCGGUUGGAGCUCUCAACGGGCUCCUCAUAGGACUAUCCGAGACCAAAGACAUGGCUUGGUCUAAGCCACGUAAUAUAUGAGGCGAUUAUUUGGGACCUAAAUCUACUCAAAGUAUAUGCUGCUCCACGCAAAGAAGAAAAGCUAAGUGACAUGCAUGGACAAUCUGACGUGACAUGACAUUAAUCCAUCAUGUGUAAUUAUUAACACUGGACCUCCUGCUUAGUUCACAGUGAGGAUCUUACUCUGUGGUCCAAAGGUAAACUGCUGAUGGGAUCAGACCACCGCUAGAGAGAGGGGGGGAGAAGCACUGAAUUAUAUACCUCUACAUUUGCUGAAAUUGAUUCUCACCAAACCUCUUGGCUGAAUUUAUAAUGCUGAUAGGCAGCAUCAUCAUUUCCCCCAGUCGGUAUCAGUAAUAACACAUUGUUCCAUGGAAAACUGGAUAUAGUAGCCCUAUAUGAUGGUGUUUUGUUGUAAAUCUGAACUACGCUGUUGCUUUCACUGAGAUUAUGUCACACUCACCCGGCCAUUGAAUGACCCUGUGCUUAACACUCUAGAAGAAAAAGAAACGCACACCUCCUUAGGCGAGGUGCUGGCCAGUGGAGCAGAAAACUUGAAAAUAAAAGAGAGCCGCACACUCUAGGAGCUCAGGUGCAAAAAUGUAAUUACCAACGUUUCGACAGCCAAGCUGUCUUCAUGAGGGUAUAACCUGUGCUUAACGCACCUUUGUCGACACACCUGACUUUUUAGUGCUGUGUAACACAGCUGGGUUUAUAGGCCUUGUCAGCGCUCUUGACAUCCCCAGCAAUCACAUGACUUAGUCCCUGUCAGGACAGGAGAAGGAGGGCGAAGUCUGCCUUGGCCACGGGUAGAUUGUGUUCACUGUAAUGCCGGCUCCAGUUGGAAUAUUGGUUUGACCAGGGUCAUUCUUUUUCCAGCUGUUAGAAGAUAGACAGUGUCAUGUGCAGUUUUACUGUUUGUGCAUGUCUGAAGCUGAAUCAGAUCAAUCAUGAAGGUACAGCAGUCUAACUACAUUAUCAUCUGACAGGCUGUUUGUCACUUUGCCUGAUCACCUCAACGCAUGGUUAACCUUUUUGAUAUAGGAUUUCCAUAUAAACUGAAGCAUAACUUCAACGGCCAUGUGUCAGGUUUUCAAUACGCGGCCAUUUUACUAGAACCCCUAAUCUUAAAUCAACCCUUGUAAUCACAUGGACUUUGUCAGAGUUGAUGUUUAGACUGUAGAUGUCUGUGUUUUUAAUGGAUAUGAUAUCCUCACUUUUAGGCUCCUAAAUCUGGUGACCCUCCAAGGAGCGACAUGGGCAAACACACUUGGCUCACUGGCUUUGAUGUACAGUGUGUUUGGGGGUGGCCAUCGAGAAGGCACGGUUAGCAGAGGAUGACAUCAACACUGUUGCUGCUGGGAUUAUGACAGGCAUGCUGUACAAGUCCACAGGCUGGUAGAGGUCAAUUGCGGGGGGGGCAUGCAUGACACUAGAGUACCUGGAAAUACAUAGUCACCUGCAGUAAAAAUGUUUUCUGGCACUAGGGAUCAGACAAUGAUUCCACCUAAAACUCCACCCAGAUGUCUGCAUGUGAUUGAAAGAGGUUGUUGCAGACACCGCUUCCUGGUUAGACUGAUGAUGGGUUCAGGUGUGUACGUGGACCAGCGCGAGGGGGCCUGGCUCUGUCAGCUCUCUGUAUAACAACUGGGACCAACUGAAGGGAAACCCUCCCACCUGCUACUGAGCCCAGCAUGGAACAUGGACCAGUCAAAACAUUUCCCCAAAUAUAUCUUGAUACCUUUGUAGACAUAUCCUCCCUUUCCAUAAUAACUUAUCUUGUCCCUGAGUUAGGCCCCUAAGGUUGCAUUGAAGGGUGGCCAGGUCUGGAAGAUGUCAAGUGUUAUACCUAAUUUAUGCGUAUCAAUUUGUUGCUGGUGUUAAGAUUCAUUGCUGUGAAUAUCUGAUCAACUGCCUAUGCACAGCUUUUUCCUAAAUUGCACUGUCUAAAUGUCACAUUGAAUCAGUAUUAUUGACAGAGUUGAAUGUUGUUGCAAAGAUUGAAUGCUGUCUUACUGAAGUGAAAGGUGGCGUUUCUUCCUAUGGAUGUCUACAUAAGUAUCUCAUUCCACAACUUUGCAUGUGGUAAUUUGCAAAUGUUUGCUUUAUGCCAAGAGAAUGUUACUGUUAAUUGUAUUAAAGACAAGUCACAGUUUUUUAAACUUAGGGAACAUAAUGUCCUUUUCUAUAAAAUGUGAUUUCCUUUAUCAGUAAUGUCAUACCAAGCCAUCUUGUGAUUUCACCCGACUUGCACAAAGAUAAGAUGGAAAAAGAGGCUCUCAAGUCUGUUCUGCUCAUCGCUGUAAACAAAUCUAAGUAGUAAUGAUUAUUUUGCUUCGAUUGCAGUCAUAGAGUUCAAUCAUAUGACACUGAUCUGUGUAUCAUAGCAUAUUAGAUUGGUCUUCACAUUGUUUACUUGUGACAGGUUUUGCAACAUGAAGUUUCUGCAGUUCCAGAAAGAAAAAUGGUAACGGGGAAAAGCAGUUAGCCCACUUAUCUUUAGUCGUGGCGCGGUUCUAUUGGUCGAAAACCCUUUAAAAAUAGAUUGAAGUCAGUUUGCAGAAUCUAUAUAGAACACUUGCAACAGUUGUAGGGUAUUCAAGAAAUUUGAGCUAUGCACUUCUUGACUCAACCCAUUUCAGUGAGGGGGUGUAGAUAUAGGCCAUAGGUUGAGGCCGUCACAUGCAGGGAGAAACAGACGCCUGUGCAUUGAGUUCAGAGUAUGGUUGAACCUGUGGCCAAUGUCUGUCAUCAUGGAAAGACUGGUGAAACUUGGUCUGACAUGGCUUAUCUAAUCCACGAUAGUUGGGUACACAACCCCAUUGUGACAGCAGCCGAUAUUGUCAUCAGCACAACAUUGGUUAAUGCUUCACUGUGCAUUUCUCCAGACCAACUGCCCAUGCUUGCAACUUGGUUUGGGAAAUAAAAAAGUUCAAGCACUUGAGUUACAAAAGAAGGAAGUCCAAGAACAGAACUCAAGGUGUUGUUUUUAUUAAGAGUCAAAUAUGGUACAGGUACAACAGCAGAAAAAGUUAGAUAAGCGAUCAUAUGGAUAGUACUUCAUGGUAAUAUGUUAAAAAUUAACAGGGGGAGAAAAAAAACUAUUAGAAGCAUUCAUCAAGCACCAUUGUGUUUCUCCUCUCCUACCCAACUCCCCAUUGCACUUCAAGAGCCUUGUACAAAUACCUUUGGGUUUACCCACUAUGGAGAGACAUCUACAGAGGUAAUAUGCAGAAAGACAUAUCAGUGGUUAUCAAUACAAGGUGUUAUUUUUGAUCGGUUCUACCGUGAUUACGCAGUAGUCGUUUGCGUCGUUCGAUUCAGCCAAUCGAAAGUCAUUUCAAUGGAAUUACUAUAUUGGGCACAACAUUUUCAGCUUGCAUAUUUGCAACAUGAAAACAAUCAACUCUUGCACGGCAGUGAUACAAUCAACACACAGGUGAUACCGGACAGGAAAACAAACACUUUUCACAACGUAUCCACUAAAUACAAUGAAGCAAACUUGAGGCACAUAAACCAGAACUACAGAGUUAUGGUAGUGCGAUAAAGGAAGAUGUAUUGGUCAUGGAGAACACCUUUAGGUUAAGCUUGUAAUUCAGAUGACUAUUUUGAAGCCAUUGAAGAGAAAGCUAUACUGGUGUUUAAGACAAUAAGAUUCCACCAGAUCAGAAGAAAACAUAUACUAGGAAAUAAAAAUCAAAGUGUAGCUUACAUUACCUGAUAGUCUUAUUUGAGUAUGGGGGCGACUAGAUAUACCCACAGUGCAUAGUCACAGAUGGAAUUCUGUGAACAGCACUAGUGAUGUAUGCGUGACAACUCUUUACCGCAUUCCAUAAAAAGGGUUUCUUAAAAUAAAAAUCUCACCUCCCUCAAACCAAACAUUAAUGUAUUGAGCUGGUACUUUCUCGAGAAUAGAGAUUCUCAAAAAUCACAUUGUGAGUUAGCUUUAGAUCCAAGUGCCCAUCUUGCUAGCUUGACAUUGAGAACGCUAUGAUUAUAGAAGACAAUUUU
Molecule: long non-coding RNA, 4808 nt
Organism: Oncorhynchus nerka (sockeye salmon)
Lineage: Eukaryota; Metazoa; Chordata; Actinopteri; Salmoniformes; Salmonidae
Exons: 7
Source: RefSeq, a predicted model, not a curated record